Molecule: ribosomal RNA, 494 nt
Filed under: uncultured bacterium
Lineage: Bacteria
Description: partial 16S ribosomal RNA
Rfam family: Bacterial small subunit ribosomal RNA
Source: RNAcentral
GACGAACGCUGGCGGCGUGCUUAACACAUGCAAGUCGAACGGUGAAGCGCCUUCCUUUUUGGUUGGUGUGGAUGAGUGGCGAACGGGUGAGUAACACGUGAGUAACCUGCCCCCUUCUUCUGGAUAACCGCAUGAAAGUGUGGCUAAUACGGGAUAUUCUGGGUCUGUCGCAUGAUGGGUCUGGGAAAGAUAUUGUUUCGGUGGGGGAUGGGCUCGCGGCCUAUCAGCUUGUUGGUGGGGUGAUGGCCUACCAAGGCGGUGACGGGUAGCCGGCUUGAGAGGGUGGACGGCCAGACUGGGACUGAGACACGGCCCAGACUCCUACGGGAGGCAGCAGUGGGGAAUAGUGAACAAUGGGGGAAAGCCUGAUGCAGCGACGCCGCGUGAGGGAUGGAGGCCUUCGGGUUGUGAACCUCUUUCGCCAGUGAAGCAGGCCUGCCUCGUUUGUGGGUGGGUUGACGGUAGCUGGAUAAGAAGCGCCGGCUAACUACGUG